GUUCCCCACUCGCCGCGUGCGCCUCGCGCAUUUGCUGGCCCGCUUCGGUGUGGUUCCAACACAGCCUCCACUCCACCAACCUAGCUCUCUUUCCCCAAUCCCCUUCUCCCGCACGAACCCUAGCAAUCGACAGCCGCCACACCCUCACUCGUCCCAGCCGCCUCCAGCUUGCUUCCUCCUCCUCAAUCCUCCUGCAUUGGUCACGCCCCUCCUCCCGCAUCUCACCCAUCUCGAUGAAUCUGAGGCGUGCGGGCACGGAGGCGAGGUUCUCCGGCGGCGACUGGAACCUCCAGGCAGAGGGCGACCCGAUGGAUCCGUCCCUGUAGGAGCGAGAAGGAAGGAGAGGAUGUAGAUAUUGAGGAAAGAGGAGACCGGCCACGGAGAUGGGAUGAGAACGUCCAUGCCGAGCCAAUCGAGCCACACCUCCGGUGCGCGACCCCAGGGAGGAUUUUGCGCUGCCGUCUUCUUGAGCCAGCCUGUGCCCUGGAAGAAGGACACCAGCCGAGAAGGAUGACGUGGAGGAAAGGAUGACGUGGAGGAGGGGCUGCCUUUUCCUCGGAGAGGAGGUCGACCGUCCGAGGCAUUGUGUGGGAAUGAAGCAAAAAGCAUGAAGAAAAUAGAGCAGGUCGUGUGUCGUCGUGCACGUAGUCUGACUUCCAUUGGCGUGUGAGUACCUGCACUUGGACCUUUUUGUGAGCAGUACUAAGUAAUCUAAUGAUCUGAUCCUUGCAUCUAAGGGAAAAAAAAUCUAAGUCAUUUCCAUUCUGAAGGUCAGGGUACCAACUAUUUGUGUUUGUGUCUACAAGCUUUUGAUUUUCUGUCCGGUCUAUUUUUUAUCUGCAAUGUUGGACCCUCUUUCCAUUUCUUGUGAAUAAUGUUUUUGUUUGAUUGUACAGUCAGUACUGCAUAUCAACUCUAUACUGCAGAAUUUGUGAACAAUCAGUACUGCACCAGGUUAUCUACAGAGGAAUGCAAGGAUAACUAGAUUAAACAUUUCACAAGAUCCUCCCAAAUACAGGAACAAACUCCUUUCAAGAUAUUAUGAGUGUGCUUGAUUACCGGGGAUUGUCAGAUGAAAAGAAGGACAUCGGCGAGAAGGGGCUCUCUGAGGCGGCUGCACUCGGUCCCCCAUGCAGCCACGCACCACAUCGUCCGGCCACGUUGAUGUCGCUGCUGCCUCAGAGACCUGGAUGAUUCUGUUGUUGGCUUCUGCUAUACUCUCUCUCUCUCUCUCAGUGGUGUAGGCAGAUUAAAAUGGCAGAUUCAUUCUGUAGGGAUUUGGUUAGGAGAUGAUUCAAGAUUUUGAUUAGGAAUGGUCUAGAUGUGGAUAUGAGUCAAUAAUGUUCCUCUACGUCCAGUUUGAAAGAAGAGAGUGGGUUCUCAAAUACAGUGAGAUGUUGGUUGGAGAGUGAGUAAUGCAAUAGUCUGCGUGUAGUAUGAGGUUGGAACUAAUGCUAAAUAUACUAUUGUUGGAACUAAUACUAAAUAUACAAUUUUGGUUUCUGACCAUAAUCUAGGUAUUUCCUGUUAAUAGCGGUAAUUGCCUUUGGCUCCUAGGUGCAUAUACACCCAUUGUCGAAAUACACAUUUCAAAAUGUUAAAAAAUUCGGAACAAAAAUCCCGCGUGUAUAUCCGGACAUUUUAUGUGUAUGCACAAGGUUUCGGUGAAAAACGACGUUUUUUGUGGCUUGUGUAAAAAAGACAAUUU
Molecule: long non-coding RNA, 1708 nt
Organism: Triticum urartu
Lineage: Eukaryota; Viridiplantae; Streptophyta; Magnoliopsida; Poales; Poaceae
Source: RefSeq, a predicted model, not a curated record